Molecule: ribosomal RNA, 253 nt
Filed under: uncultured bacterium
Lineage: Bacteria
Description: partial 16S ribosomal RNA
Rfam family: Bacterial small subunit ribosomal RNA
Source: RNAcentral
UACGUAGGGGGCAAGCGUUGUCCGGAAUCAUUGGGCGUAAAGCGCGCGUAGGCGGCCCGGUAAGUCCGCUGUAAAAGUCCAGGGCUCAACCCUGGAAAGCCGGUGGAUACUGUCGGGCUAGAGUCCGGAAGAGGCGAGUGGAAUUCCUGGUGUAGCGGUGGAAUGCGCAGAUAUCGGGAAGAACACCCGUGGCGAAGGCGGUUCUCUGGGACGGUACUGACGCUGAGACGCGAAAGCGUGGGGAGCGAACAGG